CAUAGCGACUAUCGUGGCAUAUCAAUAAGCGGAGGAAAAGAAACUAACACGGAUUCCCCUAGUAACGGCGAGUGAAGCGGGAAGAGCUCAAAUUUGAAAUCUUAAAGGGUUUCCCUUUACGAAUUGUAGUUUAAAGAAGUGUUUUCUGUUGGAGUUUCGGUAAAAGUUCUUUGGAAUAGGACAUCAUAGAGGGUGAGAAUCCCGUAUUUGAUCGUUACUUUCCAGCUGUGUGAUACACUUUCAAAGAGUCGGAUUGUUUGGGAAUGCAGUCCAAAAUGGGUGGUAAAUUUCAUCUAAAGCUAAAUAUUGGCGAGAGACCGAUAGCGAACAAGUACCGUGAGGGAAAGAUGAAAAGAACUUUGAAAAGAGAGUUAAACAGUACGUGAAAUUGUCAAAAGGGAAGCGUUUGACACCAGUGUUGUUUAGUUGAAAAUCAAUUCAAUAAUUUUUGAUUUUGAGUAGUAUUGACUUCAUCAGCUUGCUGCUUUCUUUUCGGAAAUUAUUGAAUGCACUUUUCAGUUAACAAGUCAACAUCAAUUUCUUUUGUUGUAAAAGGGUAAGAGGAAGGUGGCUUACGCUUCGGCGUAAGUGUUUAUAGCCUUUUACCUCUGCAAUCGGAGAGAUUGAGGACAGCAGCGUAGACUCCUUCGGGGUUAGAUACACUUGUGCUAAGCUAUAGCCUUGUAUAGACAACUUGUUGACUAUGCUCAGUCAUGUAGCUUACUCGCUUGUGCUAUUUUACCUACGCUUAGGAUGUUGAUAGUCACAGCGUGUAC
RNAcentral lists this ribosomal RNA (776 nucleotides) under uncultured Neocallimastigales. RNAcentral's name for it is "partial large subunit ribosomal RNA". It matches the Rfam family "Eukaryotic large subunit ribosomal RNA", at positions 22 to 631 of the family's 3401-position model. The record is from RNAcentral. Lineage: Eukaryota; Fungi; Neocallimastigomycota; Neocallimastigomycetes; Neocallimastigales.